RNAcentral lists this ribosomal RNA (305 nucleotides) under uncultured bacterium. RNAcentral's name for it is "bacterial SSU rRNA". It matches the Rfam family "Bacterial small subunit ribosomal RNA", at positions 338 to 659 of the family's 1533-position model. The record is from RNAcentral.
CCUACGGGGGGCAGCAGUGGGGAAUAUUGCACAAUGGGGGAAACCCUGAUGCAGCGACGCCGCGUGGGCGACGAAGCGCUCCGGCGCGUAAAGCCCUGUCAGCAGGGAAGAAAAAAGACAGUACCUGACCAAGAAGCCCCGGCUAACUACGUGCCAGCAGCCGCGGUAAUACGUAGGGGGCAAGCGUUAUCCGGAAUUACUGGGUGUAAAGGGAGAGUAGGCGGCAAGGUAAGCGAUAUGUGAAAGCCUUAGGCUUAACCAAAGGAUUGCAUAACGAACUAUCUAGCUAGAGUACAGGAGAGGAA